Raphanus sativus (radish) is the source of this 985-nucleotide long non-coding RNA. RefSeq lists it as uncharacterized. The record is from RefSeq and is a predicted model, not a curated record. Lineage: Eukaryota; Viridiplantae; Streptophyta; Magnoliopsida; Brassicales; Brassicaceae. The transcript has 3 exons.
AGAGCACAUUCGUGUUCUGCGUUUCUCAUCGAUCGGCUGAGACGAUGACGUUCCAGUUCCGUAACAGAGGCGUUGUAAUUUCUGCGUCUUUAAUCUCAUUGUCUUUAAUCCCAUUAAAUCAGGCGCUCAUUACGAUCUCUUCUGUUGCGUUGUUCAUUCUGCGAUUUCGUGUAUAAUAGGUUCGUAUCUCACAUCUGCGAAUCGCGAUCUCGAAAUCUCUCUGUUAUCCUUCUCCUUCAUAUUCAUCUCUUAAUACUCAUCUCUCUGUUCUUCUGUUGUCGAGGCGAGGCUUCUGAGAUUCUGGAAAAUUAGGAAUAUCAACCGUGGUGGGGAGCAUAUGUGAGCUGAUCUGCUCAUGGUUGACGUUAACAUGUUGUACUAGGAAACUAAUAAGUGUUUGGUCUCAUGCGUUUACAUUCAAACAAAGACCAUGAUGAGCUACUCUCUCAUGGUCAAACGGUCCAAAUAUCUCAUGGAAGCUCAAGUGGCCGGGUGUGUUCGACGUCUGAAGCAGAGCGGUAUCUGGGCAGAAGAAGAAGUGAUAGAACGAAGGGAUAUGGGGUCUAGACCUCCUAUGCAAACAUUUUCAAGCAAUGUGUAUUUAUUGAGAUCUGAUUGGUUUCACGGACCCGCUAUUGCUGUCUGAAAUUGUAGGGAGAUACUAAAUACGUCGAACAAACGUGAUAUGAGUUUUGUGUUGUGAUUGGAAGAAGAGUUGUUUGUUUGUUUGAACAGGAGAAGCGUCUAUAACUUUGAAACGAGGCAACAUUCGACAUGGUGUAGAAGAAAAGGAAGAAUUCCUCUGACUUCUCCGAAGUCAUUAUCUUUCAUUCAGUUUUAAAAACAUGCAAGUGUUUAACAGUUUUCGAAACUGCCUCUAUGCAUUUGUUUUGGUCAUGUAACAAAUCUUAUAUAUAAAAUAAGCGAGUAGUACGAGAGGAAUUAUGAAUCUUAAAAUAUUAUUUGCUUAGAGCCUUGGCGUCAA